This is a long non-coding RNA of Varroa destructor (honeybee mite), 596 nucleotides long. The record is from RefSeq and is a predicted model, not a curated record. Lineage: Eukaryota; Metazoa; Arthropoda; Arachnida; Mesostigmata; Varroidae.
GUCACCAAGGUAUUAUUGUCGCGGAGAAUCGACUAAAAAUGAAUCUGAUCGACCGAGAUUCUGCAACUCGCCUCUGUUCAGCGAAAGAUCACAAUUUAUGACACCAAUAUUUCAUUAAACGAGAGAAAUUGAUACAAUCUAUCAUUGAUACCAUGUAUAACAGCUUCGUCAGUUCUCGUCACGGCUCUUGCUAAUUAUUAUAAAUGAAAGUUCCCCAGUAUGUUGAAACAAUCAGGAAGUAAUUCAUCUGUUUGAGAAAGGCGUUUCUUAUUUCAACGAGAACGAACGCCAUUUUUCUAUAUAUCAGAGUGCAUUGAUGUUUACCGACGAACUGACCUUCGUAAAACGAGUAUGCGGGGCAAAAACGAAGCGGUACUUUCGUUGAAAAAACGAAGUCUCGCUAAUGUAGUUUAUAGCUAGGAUUGUGUGAUAUCAUGUGCUAAAUACGUACGAAUUAAGGAAAGCAAGAGCGUCCUAUUUUAAGUACAGGAAGUAUCAGCCGGGAUUAAAGCUCGUUACGUCUCACAUUCACGUGUGAUUCGCUAUCCUUCAAUGAAAAACGGUGUAAGCAAACAUCCAACGAUCGAGCGGUCAAU